UACGUAGGUCCCGAACGUUGCGCGAAUUUACUGGGCGUAAAGGGCCCGUAGGCGGCUUAGCAAGUGGGUGGUGAAAUUUCACGGCUCAACCGUGAGACUGCCUUCCAAACUGCUAAACUUGAGGCAGGGAGAGGAGGGCGGAAUUCCCGGUGUAGCGGUGAAAUGCGUAGAUAUCGGGAAGAACACCAGUGGCGAAGGCGGCCGACUGGAACUGUACUGACGCUGAGGGACGAAAGCUAGGGGAGCAAACCGG
Molecule: ribosomal RNA, 253 nt
Filed under: uncultured bacterium
Lineage: Bacteria
Description: partial 16S ribosomal RNA
Rfam family: Bacterial small subunit ribosomal RNA
Source: RNAcentral